RNAcentral lists this long non-coding RNA (1537 nucleotides) under Amborella trichopoda. Its description in RNAcentral is "long non-coding RNA (ATRI_LNC000720)". Lineage: Eukaryota; Viridiplantae; Streptophyta; Magnoliopsida; Amborellales; Amborellaceae. The record is from RNAcentral.
AUACUCUCCUCCCUCUUCCCCCAACUCUCCAGAAUACUCUCCCUCUUCUCCCCAAUACUUUCCCUCUUCUCCUCAAUACUUUCCCUCUUCCCCCAACUCUCCAGAUUACUCUCCCUCUUCUCCCCAAUACUUCUCUCUUCUCCCCAAUACUCUCUCUCUUCCCCCAACUCUCCAUAAUACUCUCCCUCUUCCCCCAACUCUCCAGAAUACAUUUCCUUCUUCCCCUAACUCUCCAUAAUACUCUCCCUCUUCUGCCCAAUACUCUCCCUCUUCUCCCCAGUACUUUCCCUCUUCUCCCAACUCUCCAGAAUACUCUCCCUCUUCUCCCCAAUACUUUCCCUCUUCUCCCCAAUACUCUCCCUCUUCCCCCAGCUCUCCUCAAUACUCUCCCUCUUCUCCCCAAUACUCUCCCUCUUCCCCCAACUCUCCGCCCUCUUUUCCCCAAUACUUUCUUCAAUACUCCCCCUCUUCUCCCCAAUACUCUCUCUCUUCGCCCAACUCUCCUCAAUACACUCCCUCUUCUUUCCAAUACUCUCCCUCUUCCUCACAGUACUCUGACAUGGAGUCUACAGGCUCCAAUUCUCCAUCUCCCUCUCUCUCGUAUUCUCCUCUCUCUCCGUCUCCCUACUCUCCCCGUUCAUCCUAUGGUUAUUGAUUUUUUGUUUUUCUAUUAAAUUAAUAAUAUUUUGUAAUUUUUUUUAUGGUUUGAAAAUUUAAUUUUAGUUAUUUCUUAAAAAUAUUUUCCUUGUAAUCAGUGCUAUUAUGAAUUUUAAUAAGAAUUGUUUCUUUAUUUUCUCUCUGUUGUUCACUUCAGGGGUAUCAGCGUCUCAUGGAGGCAUACAUUUAGGACGCCCAACGUGCUCGCAAAUCUCAUGGCAAAUGACGGAGCCGACCUCACAAACUGUCUUGGAUGAACUACCUCUAAGCUAGCUGAUGGGCCUCUCUCAUUUUUGUUCACUACUCACAUACAUGUUGCAAAUAGGGUGUUAUAUAAUCCCUUGCGGAGCCAUCUCAUUGUUGUCACAGUAUUGGACUCCUUUUUGGCUUUUUUGUAAAGGAUUACCUUGCCCGUUAGGGUUCUAGUAGAUCCCAAUUUUUGUAAGGGACGCUAGACCCAACACCUGUGUUUACUUCUUUUUUUAUUCAAUGAAACAGUUUACUUUCUGAAAAAAAAAAAAAAUUAAUGUGCUUUGUCUCAACAUUUUGCAAUCUACUGAAAUACAAUGUUCUGAAAUUGAGUAUAAAUGGAAUUGUAGACAAGGAAAAUUGUCUAGAGCUUUGUUGUUUGUUUCUUACAUGACUGUAUUCAGCAAAAUUGGACCAAGGUUUGCAAGCAAUUAUACUUUAUCCUUUGAUAAUUGUAUGACCUGUUUUCUGUUUUGGGCAUUCUGUUUGUGCCUUUAGCAGUGUGAUGUGGUUCAUAUAAUUUGCAUCCAGUGGAGCCCAUGCCAUAUAUUUGUGGUGACAAAAUUGAAAUUAAGCUUUUGUUGCGUACUUCAUCCUAUUUUGAAAUCUUCAGGCUAGCAAAAUUUGUGGG